CCCCAAAUUUCCAUAUUUCCCCAAAAUUCCUCCUGGAACCCCCAAAAUUUCCAUUUUUCACUCAGAAAAUUCCCUUUUUUCCCCAAAUCUCCAUUUUUUACCCCCAAAAAUUCCCAAUUUUUCCCCCAGAAUAUCUCCAGGAACCCCAAAAAUUCCCAUUUUUCACCCCAAAAAUUCCCAUUUUCUCCCCAAAAUUCCCUUUUUUCACCCCAAAAAUCCUCCCCAAACCCAAAAAUUUCCAUAUUUUCACCCAAAAAUUCCCAUUUUUUACCCAAAAAUCCCAUUUUUUACCCAAAAAUUCCCUUUUUUCCCCCAAAAAAGGCACCAAAACCCCAAAAUUCCAGAGCAUUUCCUUUAUUGGGGGAGGGGCCCCGAAUUUCCCCAAUUUUGGGGCUUUUUGGGGCAAAACCUCCCCAAUGUUUUUACUUUUUUGGGCAAAACCCUCAAAUUUGGGGAUUUUUUAGGAGAAACUCCAAUUUUCACAAUUUUCGGGAUUUUUUUAGGGGCAAAACCCCAAAAUUUGGGAUUUUUUUGGGAGCUGAACCCCCAAAUUUUGGGGUUUAUUUGGAGGCAGAAACCUCAAAAUUUUGGGAUUUUUUUCCCCCCAAAUUCUGGGAUUUCUUUGGGCUGGAAAUUUUCCCAACUUUUGGGAGGAAACCCCAAAUUUUCCCUUUUUUUUGGGGGCAAACCCCUCAAAUUUUGGGAUUUUUGGGGGGCAAAAGCUCCAAAUUUUCCCAAUUUUGGGGUUUUUUUGUUUAUUUUGGGGCCGAACCCCCAAAUUUGGGGAUUUUUGGGGUUUUUUUGGGGGGGGUCCCUCCGACAGCGCCGAUUUUGGGGGGAGGGGAGGGGAGGAAGAGGAAGAGGAGGGAGAGAAACCCAAAGGCGGCGAGGCCGAAGGCUCAGGAGGAGGAAGAGGAGGAAAUCGAAGCCGAUGAGGCCGAAGGUCAUGAGGAGGAGGAGGAGGGAAUACAACCGAACCCGACGAGGCCGAAGGCUCACGAGGAGGAGGAGGAGGAGGAUGAAGGCCCCUCAUUUCACAGCGAGGAUGAUGAGGGUCCCUCACCCCCCUGAGGAGGAGGAGGAAACCCAACCCGACGAGGCCAAAGGCUCAGGAAGGGGAGGAUGAUGAUGAUGACGACGAAGGCCUCCCCCUCUCGUUUCGCGGCGAGGAUGAUGAAGGUGAAGACGAUGAAGACGACGAAGCUCUCCCAUCCCCAGGCGAGGAAGAUGAAGGUGAGGAUGAUGAAGGUGAUGAAGGUGACGGUGAAUUCCCUUCCCGGGGCUGAUGAAGACGAUGGUGAUGAAGGACAGGAUGACGACGAUGAUGAUGAAGGUCAGGACGAGGAGGAUGAUGAAGGUCAGGACGAGGACGAUGAGGAUGAUGAUGAAGCUCAGGAGGAUGAUGAGGAUGAUGAAGGCCAGGAUGAUGAAGAUGAUGAAGACGAAGGUGACGAAGGCGAGGAUGAG
Molecule: long non-coding RNA, 1467 nt
Filed under: Junco hyemalis (dark-eyed junco)
Lineage: Eukaryota; Metazoa; Chordata; Aves; Passeriformes; Passerellidae
Description: lncRNA (ENSJHYG00000000791.1)
Source: RNAcentral